This 465-nucleotide ribosomal RNA is filed under the name Vreelandella stevensii. Its description in RNAcentral is "partial 16S ribosomal RNA". It matches the Rfam family "Bacterial small subunit ribosomal RNA", at positions 338 to 795 of the family's 1533-position model. Lineage: Bacteria; Pseudomonadati; Pseudomonadota; Gammaproteobacteria; Oceanospirillales; Halomonadaceae. The record is from RNAcentral.
CCUACGGGAGGCUGCAGUGGGGAAUAUUGGACAAUGGGGGCAACCCUGAUCCAGCCAUGCCGCGUGUGUGAAGAAGGCACUCGGGUUGUAAAGCACUUUCAGUGAGGAAGAACGCCUGGUGGUUAAUACCCAUCAGGAAAGACAUCACUCACAGAAGAAGCACCGGCUAACUCCGUGCCAGCAGCCGCGGUAAUACGGAGGGUGCGAGCGUUAAUCGGAAUUACUGGGCGUAAAGCGCGCGUAGGUGGCUUGAUAAGCCGGUUGUGAAAGCCCCGGGCUCAACCUGGGAACGGCAUCCGGAACUGUCAAGCUAGAGUGCAGGAGAGGAAGGUAGAAUUCCCGGUGUAGCGGUGAAAUGCGUAGAGAUCGGGAGGAAUACCAGUGGCGAAGGCGGCCUUCUGGACUGACACUGACACUGAGGUGCGAAAGCGUGGGUAGCAAACAGGAUUAGAUACCCUGGUAGUC